This 454-nucleotide ribosomal RNA is filed under the name uncultured bacterium. RNAcentral's name for it is "partial 16S ribosomal RNA". It matches the Rfam family "Bacterial small subunit ribosomal RNA", at positions 28 to 507 of the family's 1533-position model. The record is from RNAcentral.
GAUGAACGCUGGCAGAAUGCUUAACACAUGCAAGUCGACCUGAACUUCGGUUUGGGUGGCGGUCGGGUGAGUAACGCGUAAAGAACUUGCCUCACAGCUAGGGACAACAUUUGGAAACGGAUGCUAAUACCGGAUAUUAUGAUUAUAUGGCAUCGUAUAAUUAUGACAGCUAUAUGCGCUGUGAGAGAGCUUUGCGUCCCAUUAGCUAGUUGGAGAGGUAACAGCUCACCAAGGCGAUGAUGGCUAGCCGGCCUGGGAGGGUGAUACGGUACAAGGGCACUCAGAAACGACCCGUAGUGAAACGUGCGGAAUGGGUGGGAACCAGAGGCAGAUGGGCCGAGAGUAUGAUGAAGGAAUUCGGUUUGUAAAAUGCUGUUUUUCGGAAUGAAAAGUGCUUUCAGUUGGGAAGAAAAAAAUGACGGUACCAACAGAAGAAGCGACGGCUAAAUACGUG